Molecule: ribosomal RNA, 497 nt
Filed under: Streptomyces sp. 846.5
Lineage: Bacteria; Bacillati; Actinomycetota; Actinomycetes; Kitasatosporales; Streptomycetaceae
Description: bacterial SSU rRNA
Rfam family: Bacterial small subunit ribosomal RNA
Source: RNAcentral
GCAUGGUUGUCGUCAGCUCGUGUCGUGAGAUGUUGGGUUAAGUCCCGCAACGAGCGCAACCCUCGUUCUGUGUUGCCAGCGGGUUAUGCCGGGGACUCACAGGAGACUGCCGGGGUCAACUCGGAGGAAGGUGGGGACGACGUCAAAUCAUCAUGCCCCUUAUGUCUUGGGCUGCACACGUGCUACAAUGGCCGGUACAAUGAGCUGCGAUACCGCGAGGUGGAGCGAAUCUCAAAAAAGCCGGUCUCAGUUCGGAUUGGGGUCUGCAACUCGACCCAUGAAGUCGGAGUUGCUAGUAAUCGCAGAUCAGCAUUGCUGCGGUGAAUACGUUCCCGGGCCUUGUACACACCGCCCGUCACGUCACGAAAGUCGGUAACACCCGAAGCCGGUGGCCCAACCCCUUGUGGGAGGGAGCUGUCGAAGGUGGGACCAGCGAUUGGGACGAAGUCGUAACAAGGUAGCCGUACCGGAAGGUGCGGCUGGAUCACCUCCUUUCU